This 253-nucleotide ribosomal RNA is filed under the name uncultured bacterium. RNAcentral describes it as "partial 16S ribosomal RNA". It matches the Rfam family "Bacterial small subunit ribosomal RNA", at positions 524 to 776 of the family's 1533-position model. The record is from RNAcentral.
UACAGAGGCCUCGAGCGUUAGGCGGAAUCACUGGGCUUAAAGCGUGUGUAGGCGGAUUGGUAAGUACCUUGUGAAAUCCCACAGCUUAACUGUGGAACUGCUCGGUAUACUGCUGAGCUUGAGCCACUCAGGGGCUACCGGAACAAAUGGUGGAGCGGUGAAAUGCGUAGAUAUCAUUUGGAACGCCAAUGGUGAAAACAGGUAGCUGGGGGUGUGCUGACGCUGAGACACGAAAGCCAGGGGAGCAAACGGG